RNAcentral lists this unclassified non-coding RNA (269 nucleotides) under plant metagenome. RNAcentral describes it as "partial contains small subunit ribosomal RNA, internal transcribed spacer 1, and 5.8S ribosomal RNA". The record is from RNAcentral.
UUUCCGUAGGUGAACCUGCGGAAGGAUCAUUAAUGAGUUGUCAUGGGGUUCGAUGCUGGCAGCCAAUUUUUGGAUGCAUGUGCUUGCCCUAACAAUCAUCUUCCAAACACCUGUGCACAUUUUUGAGGGAGUCUUGAGUUGGUUGCCGCUCUUGGGUGAUUUUCUCACAUUCCCUUAAACCAUAAUACGCUAUUAACAAUGUUGAACGUGCUCUGUGCCGCAAGGCUAUUAAUAUAAUACAACUUUUAACAACGGAUCUCUUGGCUCUC